This 341-nucleotide long non-coding RNA is filed under the name Capsella rubella. Its description in RNAcentral is "long non-coding RNA (CRUB_LNC002173)". Lineage: Eukaryota; Viridiplantae; Streptophyta; Magnoliopsida; Brassicales; Brassicaceae. The record is from RNAcentral.
UAGAGUGUAAAACAAAAAGUUGAGUAUCAUUUAGUUGAGAAUUAGUUCUCUCUCUUAAUGUCAUAAAUAAAGAAAUAAGUACUCCUAUAGAGUGUAGGUGGUGUUUACAAAAAAAAAAAAAGAGAUUUAUGUGGUUUAAUAACUCUAUCAAUAAAUGAUGUCGAUGAUAUCUUCAAAGAUAUAUGAUAUAAUUAUAUUUAGUCGAUAUCAUUUUGUUUAGUGUAUAACUCAAGAUAACAAUUAGUAUGUAUUCUAAGGUAACAAGCCUUGUUUUCUAAAUUAAAAAAUUGGGUAUUAAAUACAACAAUGUACUCACGAAGACACUAAAUAUACACUAUGGC